AUGCACUUCAGACUUUUCUGCUGUGUGGCCCUUUUAUUCUGGACCACAGGCUCCAUGGGCACAGAGGUCAUCCAGAAUCCCAGAUAUCUGGUCAAAGGAAAAGAACAGAAAGCCAAAAUGGAUUGCACCCGCAUAAAAGGGCAUAGUUAUGUUUAUUGGUACUACAAGAAGCUGGGAGAAGAACUCAAGUUUCUGGCUUACUUUCAGAAUGCCGACAUCUUAGACAAAAUAGAUACGAUUGGUAAAAACAUUUCAGCCAAAUGCCCCACUGACUUACCAUGUACCAUAGAGAUCCAGUCCAGCCAGCUCACAGACUCAGCUGUGUACUUCUGUGCCAGCAGUCAAUCCACAGUGCUGACUGCUGGCUUUUCUUAG
This is a non-coding RNA of Microtus ochrogaster (prairie vole), 375 nucleotides long. The record is from the annotation of a RefSeq genome assembly. Lineage: Eukaryota; Metazoa; Chordata; Mammalia; Rodentia; Cricetidae.